Molecule: long non-coding RNA, 1589 nt
Organism: Triticum dicoccoides
Lineage: Eukaryota; Viridiplantae; Streptophyta; Magnoliopsida; Poales; Poaceae
Exons: 6
Source: RefSeq, a predicted model, not a curated record
GGUAUCGUUGUCCCUCGUGAGUUUAUUUUUUUCCUAGCCCACUGUAGCCCAAAUUCAAGCCCUGUCUAAGCCUGUAUAACCCAGACCGUAUACGUACAGUACCCUCCCUCGAAAAAAAACAUCACAUGACCCCAUGACCACGUAAGACCUGCUGAAUCAAAUCAUUCACACAACUCCAUCAUUCACGCUGUAGAUCUCCAGCGGCGCCCAUCUCGUCGCCAGCCAUCUCGUCGGACAGCAGGCGCGGCACCGUCGUGAAUCUCCAGCGCUCGCAGGAAAUGGCGGACAUUGAGUUAACUGAUAUCAUGAUAGACAUUGAGUUUGGAGAACUGAUGAAAGACUGGAUAGAAGAUUGGUCAGAUGAUGAAAAUUCAGACCGUGGAGAUUGGUCAGAGAAUGGGAACGAAGGGGAAGAUCUUAAUAUGGAUGAGCAUGAUGAUGGUUAGGAAAAGAACGCCGAGGUCUCAAAUGAAGAUUACAUUAGUCAGCUCAUUUCUGGAUGUCAUAAUGCGUACGAUUAUUACGGUGAAUCCGACGCGGAGACAUGCCUUAAUGACAAACCAUGAGAUGCACCUGAUUAUGGGGAGUCGCAGUCGUCGGUCAUCAUGAGUGAGGUGACAGAAGAUGAGGGGAAAGAGAAUCUCGACGAACUGUCCAUGCAGAUGAUAAGAGGGAUAUGUUCAUGAAGAUAAUAGAAAUGACUUUUAUAUCUCAAGAUGUUGCGUUUGAUUUUUACAACAUCUAUGCAUGAGAUAAUGGUUUCAGCAUUAGAAAGGAUAAGGUCGGGUAUAGCAAAACUGAGUCACAUCAUAUGCUUUAUAGGUGGUUUCUUUGUUCCAAAGAAGGGAACGUGACAACAAGUUGCUAACCGAGGAAGGACGCACCCGUAGGCUCAGACCUGAGACACGCUGCAACUGCGAAGUGCACCUGACCGUCAAGCUUGACGAAAAGCGUGGGGUUUGGUAUGUUGAAAGUUUUGAGGACAAGCAUAGCCAUAUAUUGCCAAGACUGGACGAGGGAUUAGAAUUGACGACACUAUGGAUUCCUUCGUCGGCAAACAUGUAUGGUAUAGCGGUGUUGGUUUUACCAGGUGUGAUAUAUACAACCUUUGCUCCAGGGAGAAGAGGAAGUUGCUUUGAAAAGGUGAUGCUGCCACAACCAUAGGCAUCAUGGCCAGUAGGAAAGAGAGGGAUCCUAGCUUAUUUUUCGAGUACAAGCUAGAUAAGGAGGGACAUAUGAAUAGAAUGUUCUGGUGUGACUCGCAGUCCCAUCAUGACUAUGAGGACUUCGACGACGUGCUUGUAUUUGAUAGCACGUACAAGGCUAUGGUAUGUCAUUCAUACCUUUUGUUGGUCUUAACAAUCACCGGAAGACCAUUGUUUUUGGUUGUGCCAUAGUUUCGGACAAGACCGAAGAAACAUAUGUGUGGUUGCUGUAGACUUUUUUGAGGUCCAUGUGUCAGAAGCUGCCGAAGAGUGUAAUCACGGACGCCGACACUGCGAUGAUCAAGGCAAUUCACAAAGUCUUGCCAGAAUCACGUAUAUGUACGUGGCAUAUAGAAAAAAAAUGAAGAUUCACCUUAGUCACAA